Molecule: ribosomal RNA, 492 nt
Filed under: uncultured bacterium
Lineage: Bacteria
Description: partial 16S ribosomal RNA
Rfam family: Bacterial small subunit ribosomal RNA
Source: RNAcentral
AUUGAACGCUGGCGGCAUGCUUUACACAUGCAAGUCGAACGGUAACAGGCCUUCGGGUGCUGACGAGUGGCGAACGGGGGAGUAAUGCAUCGGAACGUACCCAGAGGUGGGGGAUAACGCAGCGAAAGCUGUGCUAAUACCGCAUGUGAUCUGAGGAUGAAAGCGGGGGACCGAGCAGCAAUGUUUGGCCUCGCGCCUUUGGAGCGGCCGAUGUCGGAUUAGCUAGUUGGUGGGGUAAAGGCCUACCAAGGCGACGAUCCGUAGCUGGUCUGAGAGGACGACCAGCCACACUGGGACUGAGACACGGCCCAGACUCCUACGGGAGGCAGCAGUGGGGAAUUUUGGACAAUGGGCGCAAGCCUGAUCCAGCCAUGCCGCGUGCGGGAAGAAGGCCUUCGGGUUGUAAACCGCUUUUGGCAGGAACGAAACGGUGUCCGCUAAUACCGGGCGCUAAUGACGGUACCUGCAGAAUAAGCACCGGCUAACUACGUG